RNAcentral lists this ribosomal RNA (681 nucleotides) under Triticum aestivum (bread wheat). RNAcentral describes it as "partial small subunit ribosomal RNA". The record is from RNAcentral. Lineage: Eukaryota; Viridiplantae; Streptophyta; Magnoliopsida; Poales; Poaceae.
AACCCCUCACCUGAGAAUUUGUUGUGGGCUCAUAAUAAUAAUGGGAAUUUUACCACUAACUCUAUGUAUCGUGCGCUCACGCAUUUCAAGUUACCGGUGAGGAAUAAUAAGAAAAUUUGGUGGUCAGAGAUACCACUAAAAGUUAAAAUCUUCAUGUGGUAUCUUCGUAGGGGAGUUGUGCUAACCAAAGACAACCUUGCACGACGCAAUUGGCAAGGGAGUAAGAAAUGUUGUUUUUGUACUCAUGAUGAAACAAUCAUACACCUCUUUUUGCAAUGCAAUUUUGCACGUUCUACGUGGUCAGUCAUCCAAAUAGUGUCAAGUUUACAUCCGCCCACAAGUGUUGCCAAUAUUUUUUGUCACUGUUUGGACGGUAUUUCAAAUAGGUUCAAAACCCUGUUGAGGGUGGGAGUGUAUGCCUUACUAUGGUCGCUUUGGCUAUGUAGAAAUGAUUUUAUUUUUAAUGACAAAAAUGCUUCUCAUCUGCAGGCUAUUUUUCGUUGUACGCACUCGCUUCGUACAUGGUCUAUGCUACAACGAACGGAGGUCCAACCGUUGUUCAAGGGGGGUGUACGAGGUUGGAGCAGGUGGCUACGGAGGUUUUUACUAAACAUGGGUGGCAGCAUAAUCUCCGGAUCGGUCCAUCUCACCUUUCGACAUAGGCACACUGUUGGUCUAUAG